Molecule: ribosomal RNA, 403 nt
Filed under: uncultured bacterium
Lineage: Bacteria
Description: bacterial SSU rRNA
Rfam family: Bacterial small subunit ribosomal RNA
Source: RNAcentral
UGAGGAAUAUUGCACAAUGGACGCAAGUCUGAUGCAGCAACGCCGCGUGGAGGAUGGAGGUCUUUGGAUUGUAAACUCCUUUUCUCAGGGAAGAGAAUGGACGGUACCUGAGGAAUAAGUCACGGCUAACUACGUGCCAGCAGCCGCGGUAAUACGUAGGUGGCAAGCGUUAUCCGGAAUUACUGGGCGUAAAGCGCACGCAGGCGGUCUUUUAAGUUUGACGUGAAAGCUCUCGGCUUAACUGGGAGAGGUCGUUGAAGACUGGGAGACUUGAGGCAAUGAGAGGGGUGUAGAAUUCCUGGUGUAGUGGUGGAAUGCGUAGAUAUCAGGAGGAAUACCAGUGGCGAAAGCGGCACCCUAGCGUUAGCCUGACGCUCAUGUGCGAAAGCGUGGGGAGCGAACG